GUUUCCGUCCCCUUGCGGGGAAAAGGUAGGGAUCAAC
Non-coding RNA from Synechococcus sp. JA-2-3B'a(2-13), 37 nucleotides. NCBI's taxonomy places the organism in Bacteria, Bacillati, Cyanobacteriota, Cyanophyceae, Synechococcales, Synechococcaceae. The record is from Rfam.